RNAcentral lists this ribosomal RNA (502 nucleotides) under uncultured marine bacterium. RNAcentral's name for it is "bacterial SSU rRNA". It matches the Rfam family "Bacterial small subunit ribosomal RNA", at positions 59 to 604 of the family's 1533-position model. The record is from RNAcentral.
AAGUCGAACGAAGUAGCAAUACUUAGUGGCAGACGGGUGAGUAACAUGUGGGUAUCUGCCCUUUGGCCUGGAAUAACACGAGGAAACUUGUGCUAAUACCGGAUAAGUCUUUACAGAGAAAGCUUUAUGCACCAUUGGAUGAGCCCGCACUUGAUUAGUUUGUUGGUAGGGUAACGGCCUACCAAGACUGUGAUCAAUAGCUGAUUUGAGAGGAUGAUCAGCCACAUUGGGACUGAGACACGGCCCAAACUCCUACGGGAGGCAGCAGUGGGGAAUCUUGCACAAUGGAGGAAACUCUGAUGCAGCGAUGCCGCGUGAGUGAAGAAGGCCUUUGGGUUGUAAAGCUCUUUCGUCGGGGAAGAAAAUGACUGUACCCGAAUAAGAAGGUCCGGCUAACUUCGUGCCAGCAGCCGCGGUAAUACGAAAGGGACCUAGCGUAGUUCGGAAUUACUGGGCUUAAAGAGUUCGUAGGUGGUUGAAAAAAGUUGGUGGUGAAAUCCCA